AGAGUUUGAUCAUGGCUCAGGAUGAACGCUGGCGGCGUGCCUAAUACAUGCAAGUCGAACGCUUUGUCUUUAAUUGAUCUGACGAGCUUGCUCUGAUGUGAUUUUAUCUGACAAAGAGUGGCGAACGGGUGAGUAACACGUGGGUAACCUACCUCUUAGCAGGGGAUAACACUUGGAAACAAGUGCUAAUACCGUAUAAUACUAACAACCGCAUGGUUGUUAGUUGAAAGAUGGUUCUGCUAUCACUAAGAGAUGGACCCGCGGUGCAUUAGCUAGUUGGUAAGGUAACGGCUUACCAAGGCAAUGAUGCAUAGCCGAGUUGAGAGACUGAUCGGCCACAAUGGGACUGAGACACGGCCCAUACUCCUACGGGAGGCAGCAGUAGGGAAUCUUCCACAAUGGGCGCAAGCCUGAUGGAGCAACGCCGCGUGUGUGAUGAAGGGUUUCGGCUCGUAAAACACUGUUAUAAGAGAAGAACGGCACUGAGAGUAACUGUUCAGUGUGUGACGGUAUCUUACCAGAAAGGAACGGCUAAAUACGUGCCAGCAGCCGCGGUAAUACGUAUGUUCCAAGCGUUAUCCGGAUUUAUUGGGCGUAAAGCGAGCGCAGACGGUUAUUUAAGUCUGAAGUGAAAGCCCUCAGCUCAACUGAGGAAUGGCUUUGGAAACUGGAUGACUUGAGUGCAGUAGAGGAAAGUGGAACUCCAUGUGUAACGGUGAAAUGCGUAGAUAUAUGGAAGAACACCAGUGGCGAAGGCGGCUUUCUGGACUGUAACUGACGUUGAGGCUCGAAAGUGUGGGUAGCAAACAGGAUUAGAUACCCUGGUAGUCCACACCGUAAACGAUGAGUGCUAGAUGUUCGAGGGUUUCCGCCCUUGAGUGUCGCAGCU
RNAcentral lists this ribosomal RNA (889 nucleotides) under uncultured bacterium. Its description in RNAcentral is "bacterial SSU rRNA". It matches the Rfam family "Bacterial small subunit ribosomal RNA", at positions 8 to 853 of the family's 1533-position model. The record is from RNAcentral.